CCGAGUUUUCAACUCCCUAACCCUUAUGUGAACCUACCUAUUGUUGCUUCGGCGGACUCGCCCCAGCCGGACGCGGACUGGACCGGCGGCCGCCGGGGACCCUCAAACUCUUGUAUUAUCAGCAUCUUCUGAAUACGCCGCAAGGCAAAACAAAUAAAUCAAAACUUUCAACAACGGAUCUCUUGGCUCUGGCAUCGAUGAAGAACGCAGCGAAAUGCGAUAAGUAAUGUGAAUUGCAGAAUCCAGUGAAUCAUCGAAUCUUUGAACGCACAUUGCGCCCGCCAGCAUUCUGGCGGGCAUGCCUGUUCGAGCGUCAUUUCAACCCUCGACCUCCCUUUGGGGAAGUCGGCGUUGGGGACCGGCAGCACACCGCCGGCCCUGAAAUGGAGUGGCGGCCCGUCCGCGGCGACCUCUGCGUAGUAAUCCAACUCGCACCGGAACCCCGACGCGGCCACGCCGUAAAACACCCAACUUCUGAACGUU
RNAcentral lists this unclassified non-coding RNA (483 nucleotides) under Beauveria brongniartii. RNAcentral describes it as "partial contains ITS1, 5.8S rRNA and ITS2". The stretch from base 163 to 316 matches the Rfam family "5.8S ribosomal RNA". The record is from RNAcentral. Lineage: Eukaryota; Fungi; Ascomycota; Sordariomycetes; Hypocreales; Cordycipitaceae.